RNAcentral lists this transfer RNA (97 nucleotides) under Bacillota bacterium. Its description in RNAcentral is "tRNA-Sec". It matches the Rfam family "Selenocysteine transfer RNA". The record is from RNAcentral. RNAcentral also lists the same sequence under 2 other names. Lineage: Bacteria; Bacillati; Bacillota.
GGGAGUGGAUGGGUACUGGUGUGCCCUCUGGACUUCAAAUCCACGGUGGGGCUUUAGAAGGGUCCCAGGUGGGUUCGAUUCCCACGCACUCCCUCCA